Dromiciops gliroides (monito del monte) is the source of this 658-nucleotide long non-coding RNA. RefSeq lists it as uncharacterized. Lineage: Eukaryota; Metazoa; Chordata; Mammalia; Microbiotheria; Microbiotheriidae. The transcript is spliced from 3 exons. The record is from RefSeq and is a predicted model, not a curated record.
CUGCACGCGCGGUCCGGACGGCUUUGGGGGGGCGUUGGGCUCGCGACCCACCAGGUCGGGCUCUUUCCCACCCCCUCCGAGUGGCCCGAAGGCUUGAUUGAUUGGCAGGAGGCGCAGCGAGUGAUCGGAGCCCGCAACUCCUGGGAUCCCUGCCUUCUCCUCUCUCAAGGGAGUUGAAGUCAAAAUGGAAGAAACGAACUUUUAAAAGUCUAUGCAAAGAAUAAUAAAACUGACAAGUAUCUGCAAUUCUACUGUCCCUGAAUAGUGAGACAUCCAGAUUUUUGGACCAGAUCUGUGACUUCAUUGAUCUGAGGAGCUCCCCAGGGAAGAAACCCUCUAGUAACACAGAUUGACACCUGUUCUGCAAUUAAGUCUUAAAAGAGUUGCCUGUGGUCCCCGAAAGGUUAAAUGAUUUGCUGUGGGCCACACAGACAACACAGGUCAGAAUUAGGAGUUGAAGCCAUCUUCCUGACCCUGGAGGCCAGCUCUCUGCAUGAUACUGUAAUGCCUAUCUGGCACCCACAUUUACCUCUAGUAAAAAUCAUUCCAUAGUACUUCAGAGCAAAAAGGGAUUUUUCAUGUAAUAGACACAGCUCUCAUAGACAACAUAAAGAAGGCAUAGUAUAACCACUAAAAACAUCUUUAACAAUUUUCUUAA